ACUUCUUUAGUAUAUUAGUACAUUUAUUUUCCACAUAAAAAGAUUUUUAAUUUUAAAAAGAAGGA
This 65-nucleotide transfer RNA is filed under the name Glycera tesselata. Its description in RNAcentral is "tRNA-Gly". Lineage: Eukaryota; Metazoa; Annelida; Polychaeta; Phyllodocida; Glyceridae. The record is from RNAcentral.